Molecule: long non-coding RNA, 711 nt
Filed under: Rattus norvegicus (Norway rat)
Lineage: Eukaryota; Metazoa; Chordata; Mammalia; Rodentia; Muridae
Description: long non-coding RNA NONRATT033074
Source: RNAcentral
AUGCAGACUGCAUCUGCGUGUCAAUUGCAACACCAUGACUUGAAGCUCAGAGGGCUGACACCAAAUAAAGGAGACAAGAAUGAGAUAAGUGGUCACAGAACAAGUAGGUCCUCUUUUUCUCAAGAACAAAACUUAAAGUCAUGGGAACAAGCCAAAAGCAUUGCUGGGAACAUUAAUCAGGAGACCAUGAAUGAACUGAGUCAGGUAUGAGUACUGCAAAUCUGAGUAAGAGGGAAAAGGAAGGGACCAUUGCCCUUUGGGUGUACUUAUUUCUAAGAAAUAAGGCCCAGCAAAUUUUAUGAAUAACACUCCCACAAUGUACUACCAUCAGACAAUUUAAGAAGGCAAAACAUACCUUGAGAGAAAGGACUCAUUGGAAAUAGUAGAGCAAAACCAUAGUCAGCAAGGGUAGGUGGUUGGAGGGUGCUGAGCAGAACCCAUUGGACCAACAGUGUCAACUAACCUGGACCUCUGGGAGUUCCCAGAGACUAACCCACCAACAAAAGGGUAUGCGCUGUCUAGUCUGAGGACCCCUGCACAUACUUAGCAGAGGACCGACUGCCUUGUUUGGCCCGAGUAGGAGAAGAUGUAUCUAAAGAGACUUGCUACCCUAAAGAAGGAGAAUGCCGGGGGGAGGGGGGACCCUCUCAAAGGUGAAGGGGAUGAGGGAUGGUGGAUGGGGCCGGAAACUCUGGAAGGGGGGACCAGAAG